Molecule: non-coding RNA, 29 nt
Filed under: Mus musculus (house mouse)
Lineage: Eukaryota; Metazoa; Chordata; Mammalia; Rodentia; Muridae
Source: RNAcentral
UGAGUGCUCUGUGGAAGAUUCUAGCCCUA